GGAACGUUGCGCGAGUGGUUUAAGCGGGCACCCUGCUAAGGUGCUAACUGGCAACGGUUCGGGGGUUCGAAUCCCUCACGUUCCG
This 85-nucleotide transfer RNA is filed under the name Caudoviricetes sp. RNAcentral describes it as "tRNA-Ser". It matches the Rfam family "tRNA". From Rfam's summary of the family: Transfer RNA (tRNA) molecules are approximately 80 nucleotides in length. Lineage: Duplodnaviria; Heunggongvirae; Uroviricota; Caudoviricetes. The record is from RNAcentral. RNAcentral also lists the same sequence under 1 other name.